AGGGUUUGAUCAUGGCUCAGAACGUACGCUGGCGGCACGCCUAACACAUGCAAGUCGAACGAAGUAGCAAUACUUAGUGGCAGACGGGUGAGUAACAUGUGGGUAUCUGCCCUUUGGCCUGGAAUAACACGAGGAAACUUGUGCUAAUACCGGAUAAGUCUUUACGGAGAAAGCUUUAUGCACCAUUGGAUGAGCCCGCACUUGAUUAGUUUGUUGGUGGGGUAAUGGCCUACCAAGACUGUGAUCAAUAGCUGAUUUGAGAGGAUGAUCAGCCACAUUGGGACUGAGACACGGCCCAAACUCCUACGGGAGGCAGCAGUGGGGAAUCUUGCACAAUGGAGGAAACUCUGAUGCAGCGAUGCCGCGUGAGUGAAGAAGGCCCUUGGGUUGUAAAGCUCUUUCGUCGGGGAAGAAAAUGACUGUACCCGAAUAAGAAGGUCCGGCUAACUUCGUGCCAGCAGCCGCGGUAAUACGAAGGGACCUAGCGUAGUUCGGAAUUACUGGGCUUAAAGAGUUCGUAGGUGGUUGAAAAAGUUAGUGGUGAAAUCCCAGAGCUUAACUCUGGAACUGCCAUUAAAACUUUUCAGCUAGAGUAUGAUAGAGGAAAGCAGAAUUUCUAGUGUAGAGGUGAAAUUCGUAGAUAUUAGAAAGAAUACCAAUUGCGAAGGCAGCUUUCUGGAUCAUUACUGACACUGAGGAACGAAAGCAUGGGUAGCGAAGAGGAUUAGAUACCCUCGUAGUCCAUGCCGUAAACGAUGUGUGUUAGACGUUGGAAAUUUAUUUUCAGUGUCGCAGCGAAAGCGAUAAACACACCGCCUGGGGAGUACGACCGCAAGGUUAAAACUCAAAUGAAUUGACGGGGACCCGCACAAGUAGUGGAGCAUGUGGUUUAAUUCGAAGAUACGCGCAGAACCUUACCAACACUUGACAUGUUCGUCGCGACUCUAAGAGAUUAGAGUUUUCGGUUCGGCCGGACGAAACACAGGUGCUGCAUGGCUGUCGUCAGCUCGUGUCGUGAGAUGUUGGGUUAAGUCCCGCAACGAGCGCAACCCUCACUUUUAGUUGCCAUCAUUAAGUUGGGCACUCUGAAAGAACUGCCAGUGAUAAGCUGGAGGAAGGUGGGGAUGACGUCAAGUCCUCAUGGCCCUUACGUGUUGGGCUACACACGUGCUACAAUGGUAUCUACAACAGGAAGCAAGACUGCGAGGUCAAGCAAAUCCUUAAAAGAUACCUCAGUUCGGAUUGCACUCUGCAACUCGAGUGCAUGAAGCUGGAAUUACUAGUAAUCGUGGAUCAGCGUGCCACGGUGAAUGCGUUCCCGGGUCUUGUACACACCGCCCGUCACACCAUGGGAGUUGGUUCUACCUUAAGGCAAGGUUUCAAACCCUUGACCACGGUAUAGUCAGCGACUGGGGUGAAGUCAUAACAAGGUAGCCG
RNAcentral lists this ribosomal RNA (1437 nucleotides) under uncultured bacterium. RNAcentral's name for it is "bacterial SSU rRNA". It matches the Rfam family "Bacterial small subunit ribosomal RNA". The record is from RNAcentral.